GCUCAGUUAGUUCAGUGGUUAGAAUGCUAGAUGAUUUUUUUAUCUUAGAAAUGCAGGUUUGAUUCCUGCACUGGACC
Glomus cerebriforme is the source of this 77-nucleotide non-coding RNA. NCBI's taxonomy places the organism in Eukaryota, Fungi, Glomeromycota, Glomeromycetes, Glomerales, Glomeraceae. The record is from the annotation of a GenBank genome assembly.